UUUCCGGUUGAUCCUGCCGGACCUGACUGCUAUCGGAUUGAUACUAAGCCAUGCGAGUCUUUGUAGUAAUACAAGGCAUACGGCUCAGUAACACGUAGUCAACCUACCCUAUGGACGAGAAUAAUCUCGGGAAACUGAGCAUAAUUCUUGAUAGAUCAUAAUGCCUGGAAUGGUUUAUGGUUAAAAUGAUUCGUCGCCAUAGGAUGGGACUGCGGCCUAUCAGCUUGUUGGUGGGGUAAUGGCCCGCCAAGGCGAUUACAGGUACGGGCUCUGAGAGGAGAAGCCCGGAGAUGGGUACUGAGACACGGACCCAGGCCCUAUGGGGCGCAGCAGGCGAGAAAACUUUGCAAUGUGCGAAAGCACGACAAGGUUAAUCCGAGUGAUUUCUGCUAAAGAAAUCUUUUGCCAGUCGUAAAACCGCUGGUGAAUAAGGGGUGGGCAAGUUCUGGUGUCAGCCGCCGCGGUAAAACCAGCACCUCAAGUGGUCAGGAUGAUUAUUGGGCCUAAAGCAUCCGUAGCCUGCUUUGUAAGUUUUCGGUUAAAUCCAUGUGCUCAACGCAUGGGCUGCCGAAAAUACUGCAUAGCUAGGGAGUGGGAGAGGUAGACGGUACUCAGUAGGUAGGGGUAAAAUCCUUUGAUCUAUUGAUGACCACCUGUGGCGAAGGCGGUCUACCAGAACACGUUCGACGGUGAGGGAUGAAAGCUGGGGGAGCAAACCGGAUUAGAUACCCGGGUAGUCCCAGCUGUAAACGAUGCAGACUCGAUGAUGCAUUGGCAUAAUAGCCAUUGCAGUGUCGCAGGGAAGCCGUUAAGUCUGCCGCCUGGGAAGUACGUACGCAAGUAUGAAACUUAAAGGAAUUGGCGGGGGAGCACCACAAGGGGUGAAGCCUGCGGUUCAAUUGGAUUCAACGCCGGGA
RNAcentral lists this ribosomal RNA (917 nucleotides) under uncultured archaeon. RNAcentral describes it as "SSU rRNA". It matches the Rfam family "Archaeal small subunit ribosomal RNA", at positions 1 to 923 of the family's 1478-position model. The record is from RNAcentral.